AUGGUCUUGACAAAACGAAGGGGUACUCGGCAAAACCAUGUUCUUCGGAGGUCGACGGUACUUGUUCUCAUAUCAUCAUGUAGACGUACUUUCGGAGAGGAACUUGUCCCGUCCCAAAAUGAUCAAGGCAAAAAAAACCUCGUUCAACGGUGCUCGAACUUGACGAAAACCACGAAGGCGACCUUGGGUUUCCCUGGUUGUCGCGUCUUGGCAGUGACAAGAGGAGCGACGAAGCCAGCGAGGCAGCAACCGAAGAUAGCCGGGUCGGGCGUCGGGGUUGAAGACCGGAGGUGGUUGCGGCCAGAGCAGUGGCGACCUUGGAGGCGGAGGAGGUCCGGCGAUAGUAGCAAGCCGAUGGUGGGGAGGGCAGCAAGGCGGCGCCGCGUGGUGGAGGGCUCAAGUCCCUGGCCAAAAGAUAGGCAGGGAAAAUGA
This 432-nucleotide ribosomal RNA is filed under the name Triticum aestivum (bread wheat). RNAcentral describes it as "partial small subunit ribosomal RNA". The record is from RNAcentral. Lineage: Eukaryota; Viridiplantae; Streptophyta; Magnoliopsida; Poales; Poaceae.